CCUACGGGAGGCAGCAGUGGGGAAUAUUGCACAAUGGGGGAAACCCUGAUGCAGCGACGCCGCGUGAGUGAAGAAGUAUUUCGGUAUGUAAAGCUCUAUCAGCAGGGAAGAAAAUGACGGUACCUGAUUAAGAAGCCCCGGCUAACUACGUGCCAGCAGCCGCGGUAAUACGUAGGGGGCAAGCGUUAUCCGGAUUUACUGGGGGUAAAGGGGGCGUAGACGGCAGCACAAGUCUGGAGUGAAAUGCCGGGGCUUAACCUCGGAACUGCUUUGGAAACUGUGCAGCUAGAGUGCAGGAGAGGUAAGUGGAAUGCCUAGUGUAGCGGUGAAAUGCGUAGAUAUUAGGAGGAACACCAGUGGCGAAGGCGGCUUACUGGACUGUAACUGACGUUGAGGCUCGAAAGCGUGGGGAGCAAACAGGAUUAGAUACCCCUGUAGUC
RNAcentral lists this ribosomal RNA (440 nucleotides) under uncultured bacterium. RNAcentral's name for it is "partial 16S ribosomal RNA". It matches the Rfam family "Bacterial small subunit ribosomal RNA", at positions 338 to 795 of the family's 1533-position model. The record is from RNAcentral.